UGGAUUUAAAUUUUAUUUUUUUAUUUUUAUUUUUUUUUUGUCUUCCCAAUUAUUUUUAUCAGUUGGAGGCUAAUUACUUUACAAUAUUGUAGUGGUUUUUGCCAUACAUUGACAUGAAUCACCCAUGGAAUUACAUGUGGUCCCCAUCGUGAACCCCCCUCCCACCUCCCUCCCCAUCUCAUCCCUCUGGGUCAUCCCAGUGCACCAGCCCCAAGCACUUGUCUCAUGCAUCCAACCUGGACUGGC
Molecule: long non-coding RNA, 246 nt
Organism: Cervus elaphus (red deer)
Lineage: Eukaryota; Metazoa; Chordata; Mammalia; Artiodactyla; Cervidae
Exons: 3
Source: RefSeq, a predicted model, not a curated record